Molecule: ribosomal RNA, 443 nt
Filed under: uncultured bacterium
Lineage: Bacteria
Description: partial 16S ribosomal RNA
Rfam family: Bacterial small subunit ribosomal RNA
Source: RNAcentral
CCUACGGGGGGCAGCAGUGGGGAAUAUUGGGCAAUGGAGGCAACUCUGACGCAGCAACGCCGCGUGAAUGAUGAAGGUCUUCGGAUUGUAAAGUUCUGUGAUGGGGGAGGAACACCAUGACGGUACCCCACUAGCAAGCCACGGCUAACUGCGUGCCAGCCGCCGCGGUAAUACGUAGGUGGCAAGCGUUAUCCGGGAUGACUGGGCGUAAAGGGUGCGUAGGUGGUUUAGUAAGUUCGAGGUGUAAUUCGGGGGCUCAACCUGGGCGCUACCGCCGAAACUAUUAGACUAGAGUGCAGGAGGGGUAAGUGGAAUUCCGGGUGUAGCGGUGGAAUGCGUAGAUAUCAGGAGGAAUACCAGGGGCGAAGGCGACCUACUGGACUGUAACUGACGCUGAGGCGCGAAAGCGUGGGGAGCAAACAGGAUUAGAUACCCGUGUAGUC